Molecule: ribosomal RNA, 278 nt
Filed under: uncultured bacterium
Lineage: Bacteria
Description: partial 16S ribosomal RNA
Rfam family: Bacterial small subunit ribosomal RNA
Source: RNAcentral
GGAGGGUGCGAGCGUUAAUCGGAAUUACUGGGCGUAAAGACGCAUGCAGGUGGUUUGUUUAAGUUCAGAUGUGAAAGACCCGGGGCGUCAACCUCGGAAUAGCAUUUGAAACUAGGCAGACUAGAGUACUGUAGAGGGGGGUAGGAAUUUCAGGUGUAGCGGUGAAAUAGCGUAGAGAUCUGAAGGAAUACCGGUGGCGAAGGCGGCCCCCUCGGACAGAUACUGACACUCAGAUGCGAAAGCGUGGGGAGCCAAACAGGAUUAGAUACCCCUGGUAG